CAUUUUCCAUUUUCCAUUUUCAUACAGUAGUGUUGUUUUUUUUUUUUUUGACCUUUUCCUCUCUCACUACCUUCCCAAGCAGGAAACGUACCUGCAGUACUCUAUGUGCAAGUGGGGCGGCUUGGGGGUAUAGCAACUUGCAGCUUAAUGGCAGACGUCUGAUAAGCCAAGGGACAUUGAAGUGCUUGUGUCUGCUGCAAAAAAUCAUCAAUAUUUUCAUUUUAGUGCCCAACUUUUUUCUAUCUUUAUCUUUUUCUUUCUUUCAUUCUGUCUCGAAUUACGUGCCUGUUUAUGCGCGUGCAUGUCAUGGAAGAGCCCCCCUAGUCCCCUACUGUCCUUCACUUCCCUGGGUAAUGAUACUCUUCCCACUAUAAAUUCAGAAUGAUACUGUAGCAGUAGUUUUCAUCUUUUUCCCCAAACAUUAAACAGCAACCUGCAGCUAGCUUCAGGAAACCUCCAUGUAUUCUUAC
This 470-nucleotide long non-coding RNA is filed under the name Theobroma cacao (cacao). RNAcentral describes it as "long non-coding RNA (TCAC_LNC005078)". Lineage: Eukaryota; Viridiplantae; Streptophyta; Magnoliopsida; Malvales; Malvaceae. The record is from RNAcentral.